GCCAGAUUUGACACGCGAUCCCUUUCUUUACCCAAGCAAAGCAGAAGAAAGCAGAAGUGGUUUCAGUAACCACAGGACUCCCAGGCCUGGAGCUCAGAGACAAAGCAGACAAGGAAGGAUCAGGUGAAAACUGAAACUCGGUUGCGAGAGGCAGUAAUGCUGCAGCCCUUGCAGCACUAAUGCUUGAACUUUUUCAGCUUGUGUGCUUCUGCAGGUGGGGGAGAAAUGCCGGCAGCACGGGUGCCCACAUCUCCCCAGCCCAGGGACUGAGGCCUGGGCUGGGGAAAGGAGGACGUCCUGGUGCUAACCUCUUUUUGUGCGCCCACAGCAUGGACCAUUGGGUCUCUCCCUGGUGCUCCCGCCUUAGUGCGUCCGCAAAAUGUCAUCAGCCUGUGCUCACGUUAAACUGAGCCCUGCCAGGUGCCAGGUAUGUCAGGCGCGCUUCAUAGGCCUGUGUUUUCCUAGUUGCACAUCUACUGAAUUCAAAUAUCUCUUGAAGAGCAGCAGUGGUCUCCAGCCUCCCCUCCAGCCCAUGAGCUUUGGUUGCCUGCAGAGCCGCAUGCAGGCUCCCUGGAGGGGUCCCGAUGCUCCUCAACUCAAUGGCACUGAUGCCGGACAGGGCCAGGCACGCAUCUCCCUGUUCGCCUAGGGGACAUGGCUUGCCAAGGUGAGCUGGUGUAUGGCCCAUCUCCUGCCUUGACUUGCACUGUGUCCCCUUCACUGCCUGGGUACAGAGCUAGAGUCUACAGCGGUGGGUAGUAGCACAUCUGAAUUGUGCAUCACUCUCUGGAAAGGUGACAUUUAGAUGUUGCCCAAGCUUCACCCUAAGUGACUUGCUCAAAGGAUCUGAAGGUGGUCCAGGGAAUUGAACCCAACGCCUAGUUUAAGAUCCCAACCAAAAGAGCAUCUCUCCUUUUUACCCUAGCUUCCAGAGCGCUAGCAGGCCCAUCCAUCUAAAGGGUGAGAUUUUUGGCUACUGUUAAGUUAGAUGCCAUCCAGUAACCAGGGAAUUGACAGGAUAUUUGUCACAGCUGGGCCUGUCCUCACCAGCCUGAAGGUAGCUGGAUGAUAGGAUACACAGGAGAGGACACAUUGUUCCUCUUCUUGGCCGUUAUGGCUUUACAAAUGACUAUUCCAAGCUUAGUUCCAAAAUGGUGUCAUGGCUUUCACUGCUGUCAUCAAUUGCCAUCAACACUGCAUUUAGCUGACAUAAUUACUUAUUGUUACAAUCAGUGCCCAUUAGGUUAAAGCUAAAUUACAGUCUCAGUCCUUGGGAACUGCCUAUUACAUCCAUAUGAAUACGCAAAGUUCAUCACUCAUGAUUAACGUUGCU
This 1333-nucleotide long non-coding RNA is filed under the name Struthio camelus australis. RNAcentral's name for it is "lncRNA (ENSSCUG00000005418.1)". The record is from RNAcentral. Lineage: Eukaryota; Metazoa; Chordata; Aves; Struthioniformes; Struthionidae.